CACUGACAUAAAGCCUUCUUGCAGUGCAGUAAGACCAGCAAGACAGCUAAAAUCCCUAUUGAAGAAUUCUUUCCGGAUUAAGAGAGGUAGUCGAAGACUAAAAGACGAGGUCUCACUCAGUGAAGGAACAAUGACAAGAGAGCCAGAGC
This is a long non-coding RNA of Microtus oregoni (creeping vole), 149 nucleotides long. RefSeq lists it as uncharacterized. NCBI's taxonomy places the organism in Eukaryota, Metazoa, Chordata, Mammalia, Rodentia, Cricetidae. The record is from RefSeq and is a predicted model, not a curated record. The transcript is spliced from 4 exons.